This 253-nucleotide ribosomal RNA is filed under the name uncultured bacterium. Its description in RNAcentral is "partial 16S ribosomal RNA". It matches the Rfam family "Bacterial small subunit ribosomal RNA", at positions 524 to 776 of the family's 1533-position model. The record is from RNAcentral.
UACGUAGGCAGCAAGCGUUGUUCGGAGUUACUGGGCGUAAAGGGUGUGUAGGCGGUUCUUUAAGUUUGGUGUGAAAUCUCCCGGCUCAACUGGGAGGGUGCGCCGAAAACUGGGGGGCUAGAGUACUGGAUGGGAGAGUGGAAUUCCUGGUGUAGCGGUGAAAUGCGUAGAUAUCAGGAGGAACACCUGUGGUGUAGACGGCUCUCUGGACAGUAACUGACGCUGAGACACGAAAGCGUGGGUAGCAAACAGG